This 48-nucleotide transfer RNA is filed under the name Laliostoma labrosum. RNAcentral's name for it is "partial tRNA-Ala". Lineage: Eukaryota; Metazoa; Chordata; Amphibia; Anura; Mantellidae. The record is from RNAcentral.
AAUCUGAGUUGCAUUCAGGGGAUGUAGGUUAAUAUCCUGCAAGUCCUA